AACGAACGCUGGCGGCGCGCUUAACACAUGCAAGUCGAACGAGAAGGCGUAGCAAUACGCUUGUACAGUGGCGAACGGGUGAGUAAUACGUGGGCGACCUACCCUCGAGUGGGGAAUAACCCGCCGAAAGGCGGGCUAAUGCCGCGUACGCUUCCAUCUUUAUGGAGGUGGAAGGAAAGCCGUGCCGUGGGCACGGCGCUCAAGGAUGGGCUCACGUCCUAUCAGCUUGUUGGUAGGGAACGGCCUACCAAGGCUCCGACGGGUAGCUGGUCUGAGAGGACGAUCAGCCACACUGGCACUGCGACACGGGCCAGACUCCUACGGGAGGCAGCAGUGAGGAAUAUUGCGCAAUGGGCGAAAGCCUGACGCAGCGACGCCG
This 379-nucleotide ribosomal RNA is filed under the name uncultured bacterium. Its description in RNAcentral is "bacterial SSU rRNA". It matches the Rfam family "Bacterial small subunit ribosomal RNA", at positions 29 to 399 of the family's 1533-position model. The record is from RNAcentral.